CAGUAGCCGCGGUAAUACGUAGGUGGCAAGCGUUAUCCGGAAUUACUGGGCGUAAAGCGUGCGCAGGCGGUUAUAUAAGACAGAUGUGAAAUCCCCGGGCUCAACCUGGGAACUGCAUUUGUGACUGUAUAGCUAGAGUACGGCAGAGGGGGAUGGAAUUCCGCGUGUAGCAGUGAAAUGCGUAGAUAUGCGGAGGAACACCGAUGGCGAAGGCAAUCCCCUGGGCCUGUACUGACGCUCAUGCACGAAAGCGUGGGGAGCAAACAGGAUUAGAUACCCCCGUAGUCCCUGUCUCUUAUAA
RNAcentral lists this ribosomal RNA (301 nucleotides) under uncultured bacterium. RNAcentral's name for it is "partial 16S ribosomal RNA". It matches the Rfam family "Bacterial small subunit ribosomal RNA", at positions 509 to 809 of the family's 1533-position model. The record is from RNAcentral.